CCUACGGGAGGCAGCAGUGGGGAAUAUUGCACAAUGGACGAAAGUCUGAUGCAGCAACGCCGCGUGGAGGAUGACACAUUUCGGUGCGUAAACUCCUUUUAUAUGAGAAGAUAAUGACGGUAUCAUAUGAAUAAGCACCGGCUAACUCCGUGCCAGCAGCCGCGGUAAU
Molecule: ribosomal RNA, 169 nt
Filed under: uncultured bacterium
Lineage: Bacteria
Description: partial 16S ribosomal RNA
Rfam family: Bacterial small subunit ribosomal RNA
Source: RNAcentral